This 86-nucleotide transfer RNA is filed under the name Natronospirillum sp. RNAcentral's name for it is "tRNA-Leu". It matches the Rfam family "tRNA". Rfam says of the family: Transfer RNA (tRNA) molecules are approximately 80 nucleotides in length. Their secondary structure includes four short double-helical elements and three loops (D, anti-codon, and T loops). RNAcentral also lists the same sequence under 1 other name. Lineage: Bacteria; Pseudomonadati; Pseudomonadota; Gammaproteobacteria; Oceanospirillales; Natronospirillaceae. The record is from RNAcentral.
GCCGACGUGGUGGAAUUGGUAGACACGCCAUCUUGAGGGGGUGGUGGGCAUAGCCCGUGCUAGUUCGAGUCUAGUCGUCGGCACCA